Long non-coding RNA from Musa acuminata subsp. malaccensis (wild Malaysian banana), 472 nucleotides. RefSeq lists it as uncharacterized. Lineage: Eukaryota; Viridiplantae; Streptophyta; Magnoliopsida; Zingiberales; Musaceae. The record is from RefSeq and is a predicted model, not a curated record.
UCGCCGACGAGUAGCGCCAAACGCGGCGUCUACGUGUGCGGACACUGCCACCGUGCAUGUCCCCAUCACUCGCCUUCUCUCGACCCUUCUCCAAAGCUGAAGCUGCCGCAGCCGCACCACCACAUCCCAUCAUCUUGUGUUACAGAGAAGGAAAGAGGGAUCGAGCAGCGUGUUUCAGACGUUUGAUGAUGGAGUGGUGGUGCUUCCCAUGCGGCGAGUUCCGGUCGGCGUCGCCGCCCGUCUCGGCAUCCGCAGGGCCGGGCUGAGGAAGGAGGUGAGGACGUGCACGUCCUGCGGGAGAUGCUGCGGAAGCCCGACCCCGAGAUCGAACGGCAGUCGCCGGCAUGCAGCGCGAUCGAACGGCGGCAUGCAGCAUGUUUCAUUACAUUGUGACGUUUAAACAUGUUCGAUUGGCUUCGUAGAUGAUGUCAAUGAGGUACUAAAACCAAAAAACUGACAUCUUUUGGGUGCG